GGUAAGGGCCCACCAAGGCGACGAUCAGUAGCCGGACUGAGAGGUUGAACGGCCACAUUGGGACUGAGACACGGCCCAAACUCCUACGGGAGGCAGCAGUGGGGAAUAUUGCACAAUGGGGGAAACCCUGAUGCAGCAACGCCGCGUGAGUGAAGAAGUAUUUCGGUAUGUAAAGCUCUAUCAGCAGGGAAGAAACUGACGGUACCUGACUAAGAAGCACCGGCUAAAUAC
RNAcentral lists this ribosomal RNA (231 nucleotides) under uncultured bacterium. RNAcentral describes it as "partial 16S ribosomal RNA". It matches the Rfam family "Bacterial small subunit ribosomal RNA", at positions 256 to 504 of the family's 1533-position model. The record is from RNAcentral.